UGACAUUGACUUUUAAAGUAAUCUUAACUUCCGAAGCAACAGCAACAACUUUACAUGGUUAAAAGGUUCAGAUCAUAACAUUACACCUUCUCCAAAAACAAAAAAUGGAACAACCACUAGUCUAAAACAAUUCACAAAAACAUCAAGAUAUCCACAUCUGGGGGUGCUGCUUUCAUUUCAGCAAACUCACAUCACUUCAAUCUUCACAACCAUUGUUUUAGGUGUAUGUAUUAAAUAAAGGGUGA
RNAcentral lists this long non-coding RNA (245 nucleotides) under Daucus carota (carrot). RNAcentral's name for it is "long non-coding RNA (DCAR_LNC002552)". The record is from RNAcentral. Lineage: Eukaryota; Viridiplantae; Streptophyta; Magnoliopsida; Apiales; Apiaceae.